RNAcentral lists this ribosomal RNA (498 nucleotides) under uncultured bacterium. RNAcentral's name for it is "partial 16S ribosomal RNA". It matches the Rfam family "Bacterial small subunit ribosomal RNA", at positions 28 to 507 of the family's 1533-position model. The record is from RNAcentral.
GACGAACGCUGGCGGCGUGCCUAAUACAUGCAAGUCGAGCGGACGGAUGGGAGCUUGCUCCCAGACCCGCAGCGGCGGCGGGUUGAGUAACACGUGGGCAACCUGCCUGUAAUACUGGGAUAACUCCGGGAACCCGGGGCUAAUACCGGAUAACUCUUUCCCUCACUGGAGGGAAAGCUAAAAUAUCGCAUCUCGCGAUCGCUUACACAUGGUCCCGGGGGGCAGUAGCUAGUUGGUGGGGUAACGGCUCUCCAAGGCGGCGAUGCGUAGCCGACCUGGGGGGGUGAUCGGCCACACGGGAGCUGGGCCACGGCCAAGAGUCCUGAGGGAGGCAGCAGUAGGGAAUCUGAGGCAACGGACGAGAGUCUGACGGAGCAACGCCGCGUGAGUGAUGACGGUGUUCGGAGCGUAAAACUCUGUUGUCAGGGAAGAACCAGUACCGGAGUAACUGCAGGUAUCUUGACGGUACCUGGCCAGGAAGCCACGGCUAACUACGUG